UACGUAGGGGGCAAGCGUUGUCCGGAUUUAUUGGGCGUAAAGAGCGUGUAGGCGGCCAGACAGGUCCGUUGUGAAAACUAGAGGCUUAACUUCUAGACGUCGAUGGAAACCGUCUGGCUAGAGUCCGGAAGAGGAGAAUGGAAUUCCUGGUGUAGCGGUGAAAUGCGCAGAUAUCAGGAAGAACACCCGUGGCUAAGGCGGUUCUCUAGUACGGUACUGACGCUGAGACGCGAAAGCGUGGGGAGCGAACAGG
RNAcentral lists this ribosomal RNA (253 nucleotides) under uncultured bacterium. RNAcentral describes it as "partial 16S ribosomal RNA". It matches the Rfam family "Bacterial small subunit ribosomal RNA", at positions 524 to 776 of the family's 1533-position model. The record is from RNAcentral.